This 464-nucleotide ribosomal RNA is filed under the name uncultured bacterium. Its description in RNAcentral is "bacterial SSU rRNA". It matches the Rfam family "Bacterial small subunit ribosomal RNA", at positions 339 to 796 of the family's 1533-position model. The record is from RNAcentral.
CUACGGGAGGCAGCAGUGGGGAAUCUUGCGCAAUGGGCGAAAGCCUGACGCAGCGACGCCGCGUGAGUGAUGAAGGCCUUCGGGUUGUAAAGCUCUGUGGGGAGAGACGAAUAAGUGCAGCCUAAUACGUUGCAUGAUGACGGUAUCUCCUUAGCAAGCACCGGCUAACUCUGUGCCAGCAGCCGCGGUAAGACAGAGGGUGCAAACGUUGUUCGGAAUUACUGGGCGUAAAGCGUGUGUAGGCGGUCCGAUAAGUCGGGUGUGAAAGCCCUGGGCUCAACCCAGGAAGUGCACUCGAAACUGCCGGGCUAGAGUAUCGGAGAGGUUGGUGGAAUUCUCGGUGUAGAGGUGAAAUUCGUAGAUAUCGAGAGGAACACCGGUGGCGAAGGCGGCCAACUGGACGAAUACUGACGCUGAGACACGAAAGCGUGGGGAGCAAACAGGAUUAGAUACCCUUGUAGUCC